AGAUAGCAUUCGACCCGCUGUCAUGUUUGACCACUUUGUAUUUAAGCGCUCGUGAAUAUAUUAUUGUCAUUUUGUUGCAAGCCACGUACUACGCCACAGCUCCAGGAGACAAUGGUUCGAGUAACGCUUGUCGUGAGCGCUGUGGUGCUGAUGGCUACCAUAGCCAGUGUGCAAUGUGCCGAUUGGUAAGUAUAAAUGUAUGCAAUAUUAAAUAUAUGUAUUAAAACGGGUUACUCACGUUUUAAAAUUAGUUUUGACUUAAAAACGUGAAUUUUAAACCUUUUAAUACAUAUAUUUAAUAUCUAUAGCCUCACGCAAAUUUUGUUUCUAUUUCCGUCAUAGGGGCUUUUUCGUCCACUAGCGUUUUUCUCGAACAACGAACAACAUUGAUAAUUUCGUCGACAAAGCCGCGAUUGCUUUUUGUUCAGCAAUCAAAAUAUACAUACGAUUGAAAAUCAAACAAAUACGAGUACUUAAUACGCUACGAGCGUAUGACGGAAUUAGCCACAUUGACCUUAUGACAUAUUAAAAUUUUAUUAAAAACGACACUGUUUAGUUCAAUACUACUAGGUAUCUGUUUGGCAUUGACCCAAAGAGGGGUUCACCACUAAGUAAAGGACAAGUAGUAGUGAAUAAAUUUUGUGAAUCCUUUUUUAUUUAUUUUAUUUAUCUGUAGGCAUAAUUCAAUGGAAAUUCUCGAUUUAAGUAUUCAGUUAAACCAAUUUUACUCGCUUCACAGGCCACACCGGGUUAUAGACUUGUUGUCAAAGGACAAGGCCGGAGAGGGUUAUAUUUCUCGUGCCAACGAUGGCACUAUACAUUGGUAUGAUGCAGCUGGUCGCCCGGGGCAUCAUCGUCUUUCUCAUAAAAAUACCAAAUUACAAGCCAGCGAUGCGAGUUUGGAUGACGGAGCUCACCCGAGUCAUCAUCAGCUUUUUCAUAAAAAGGCCAAGUUGGGCUGGAUGGUUCUCAAUGAUCGAUAAACUAAAAAUAAAUAUGGCGACGCGAUUUAGGUGAGAGUGUGAAGCGUCGGCCAGUGUAUCAGCAUAAUAGCUGUUGUUUUGUUUUCAGUAUUCAGAAAUUACAAACCAAUAUUUCUGAAUAUCUGCUCCCAUAUGUUACAAUGCCAUUAGAACCUCUCGAUCCUAUUUUUUUAUAUCACCUGAUGGUCCUGAUGGUAAGUUAACCAUAACUCCAGGGUGCUGACCUUUAUCUUAACAAUAUUAGCUACCGUAUCGGAGCCACCAGGGCAAGUAAAAUGUGUGAAAUAAAUACCUGCCUUACAAUUU
Cydia splendana is the source of this 1289-nucleotide long non-coding RNA. RefSeq lists it as uncharacterized. The record is from RefSeq and is a predicted model, not a curated record. The transcript is spliced from 5 exons. Lineage: Eukaryota; Metazoa; Arthropoda; Insecta; Lepidoptera; Tortricidae.